UCUGGUUGAUCCUGCCAGUAGUCAUAUGCUUGUCUCAAAGAUUAAGCCAUGCAGGUCUAAGUACAUGCCGUAAUAAGGUGAGACCGCGAAUGGCUCAUUAUAUCAGUUGUGGUUCCUUAGAUCUUCGGUUACACUUGGAUAACCCUGGUAAUUCUAGAGCUAAUACAUGCAUCCCAGCACCAACCUUCGGGGAGGUGUGUUUUUAUUAGCCCAAAACCAAUCGUUGCCUUCGGGUGACGAACUCUUGGUGACUCAGAGUAACUUGGUUCGGAUCGCAUGGCUUUGCGCCAGCGACGCAUCUUUCAAAUGUCUGCCUUAUCAACUUGUUGGUUGGUUAAAUGCCAACCAAGGUGGUAACGGGUAACGGAGAAUCAGGGUUCGAUACCGGAGAGGGAGCCUGAGAAACGGCUACCACAUCCAAGGAAGGCAGCAGGCACGCAAAUUACCCACUCCCGGCUCGGGGAGGUAGUGACGAAAAAUAACAAUACCGGACUCUUCCGAGGCUCGGUAAUUGGAAUGGGUACACUUCAAAUCCUUUAACGAGUAUCUAUUGGAGGGCAAGUCUGGUGCCAGCAGCCGCGGUAAUCCCAGCUCCAAUAGCGUAUAUUAAAGUUGCUGCGGUUAAAAAGCUCGUAGUUGGAUCUCAGUCUCGGUCGGACGGUCCGUUUUAUAGUGGUACUGGACGAAUCGGACAUUCAGCCGCCUUUCUCAGUAUGCUCUUUACUGAGUGUAUUGGGACAGUGGCGCUUUCACUUUGAAAAAAUUAGAGUGCUCAAAGCAGGCUCACGCCUGAAUCUUCGUGCAUGGAAUGAUGGAAUAGGGCCUCGGUUCUAUUUUGGUUGGUUUCCGGAACUCGAGGUAAUGAUUAAGAGGGACGGACGGGGGCAUUCGUAUUGCGACGUUAGAGGUGAAAUUCUUAGAUCGUCGCAAGACGAACUACUGCGAAAGCAUUUGCCAAGAAUGUUUUCAUUAAUCAAGAACGAAAGUCAGAGGUUCGAAGGCGAUCAGAUACCGCCCUAGUUCUGACCAUAAACGAUGCUGACUAGCGAUCCGUCGGCGUUACAACACAUGACCCGACGGGCAGCUUCCGGGAAACCAAAGUUUUUAUGUUCCGGGGGAAGUAUGCGUUGCAAAACUGGAACUUAAAGGAAUUGACUGAAGGGCACCACCAGGAGUGGAGCCUGUGGCUUAAUUUGACCCAACACGGGAAAUCUCACCAGGCCCGGACACUAGCAGGAUUGACAGAUUGAUAGCUCUUUCUUGAUUUGGUGGGUGGUGGUGCAUGGCCGUUCUUAGUUGGUGGAGUGAUUUGUCUGGUUAAUUCCGAUAACGAACGAGACCCCGUCCUACUUACUAGACCGAGGAUCCUCUCGUUCUCGCGUCUUCUUAGAGGGACAAAUGAUUUUACC
RNAcentral lists this ribosomal RNA (1409 nucleotides) under metagenome. Its description in RNAcentral is "SSU rRNA". It matches the Rfam family "Eukaryotic small subunit ribosomal RNA", at positions 1 to 1433 of the family's 1831-position model. The record is from RNAcentral.